RNAcentral lists this ribosomal RNA (468 nucleotides) under uncultured bacterium. RNAcentral describes it as "partial 16S ribosomal RNA". It matches the Rfam family "Bacterial small subunit ribosomal RNA", at positions 28 to 507 of the family's 1533-position model. The record is from RNAcentral.
GACGAACGCUGGCGGCGUGCUUAACACAUGCAAGUCGAACGGAAAGGCCCUGCUUUUGUGGGGUGCUCGAGUGGCGAACGGGUGAGUAACACGUGAGUAACCUGCCCUUGACUUUGGGAUAACUUCAGGAAACUGGGGCUAAUACCGGAUAGGAGCUCCUGCUGCAUGGUGGGGGUUGGAAAGUUUCGGCGGUUGGGGAUGUACUCGCGGCUUAUCAGCUUGUUGGUUGGGUAGUGGCUUACCAAGGCUUUGACGGGUAGCCGGCCUGAGAGGGUGACCGGCAACAUUGGGACUGAGAUACGGCCCAGACUCCUACGGGAGGCAGCAGUGGGGAAUAUUGCACAAUGGGCGGAAGCCUGAUGCAGCAACGCCGCGUGCGGGAUGACGGCCUUCGGGUUGUAAACCGCUUUCGCCUGUGACGAAGCGUGAGUGACGGUAAUGGGUAAAGAAGCACCGGCUAACUACGUG